UGCACGUUGUCAUUYGUAGUGUUAGUGUAAUGUGAUCAUCAGCUUCAUGUGUUAUGUUCUCGUGCAGUGUGUUCAUCAAUUGGAUUUUACUGUGUGUGUAUCGGAUAGUUUACAUGUGAAACCAUUUGAUGAAUAAAUCGAAUCAGUGCAUAUGAA
Molecule: long non-coding RNA, 156 nt
Organism: Actinia tenebrosa (Australian red waratah sea anemone)
Lineage: Eukaryota; Metazoa; Cnidaria; Anthozoa; Actiniaria; Actiniidae
Source: RefSeq, a predicted model, not a curated record